ACGGAAGGCAGCAGUGGGGAAUAUUGCACAAUGGGCGAAAGCCUGAUGCAGCGACGCCGCGUGAGCGAAGAAGUAUUUCGGUAUGUAAAGCUCUAUCAGCAGGGAAGAUAAUGACGGUACCUGACUAAGAAGCACCGGCUAAAUACGUGCCAGCAGCCGCGGUAAUACGCAUGGUGCAAGCGUUAUCCGGAUUUACUGGGUGUAAAGGGAGCGUAGGCGGUUUUACAAGUCUGAUGUGAAAGCCCGGGGCUCAACUCCGGUAUUGCAUUGGAAACUGUAGAACUAGAGUGUCGGAGGGGUAAGUGGAAUUCCUAGUGUAGCGGUGAAAUGCGUAGAUAUUAGGAGGAACACCAGUGGCGAAGGCGGCUUACUGGACGAUUACUGACGCUGAGGCUCGAAAGCGUGGGGAGCAAACAGGAUUAGAUACCCUGGUA
This 434-nucleotide ribosomal RNA is filed under the name uncultured Pseudobutyrivibrio sp. Its description in RNAcentral is "bacterial SSU rRNA". It matches the Rfam family "Bacterial small subunit ribosomal RNA", at positions 341 to 792 of the family's 1533-position model. Lineage: Bacteria; Bacillati; Bacillota; Clostridia; Lachnospirales; Lachnospiraceae. The record is from RNAcentral.